Molecule: long non-coding RNA, 907 nt
Organism: Triticum aestivum (bread wheat)
Lineage: Eukaryota; Viridiplantae; Streptophyta; Magnoliopsida; Poales; Poaceae
Exons: 3
Source: RefSeq, a predicted model, not a curated record
CCUGUGUCCUCCUCGUCCGAAUUUUGCCAAAAUUGACGCUUCCCGUGCCCUAGGGCGUCAUCGCCAUCUCGCCGGAGUUCCGCUGCUUGAGGUUUCUGCCGGCGUCGUUUGGGUCGCCAUUUAAGGGGACACAUCUCUUCGAGUGCUCAAACCUCGAACAGGAGCAGAACGACGCCGUUGUGCUGUAGUAGCUCACGUCGUUGCCGCCGGCAACAGACGACGCAGUGGACGCCCCCUUCUCGGUGUAGACCACCCCUCGUCGAGCCGCACAUCUCCUCCGCCUUCAUCGACACCGAAGACCAUCGGAACCGCCGCCACAUAGACGUCCGGAGCCACGUCCCGCGCCGUCCUUCCUCAACUCCGCGUCGUGUUCCUGUUCUUCUCCGAUUGUCCGGAGUGUGAAGCGGACCAGAAUUAAUCGUUACUACUUCAACACCGUUCAAGGCAAGUUUGCACUUUUGAUUUUGCUCACCCUGUAUUCUGCUAUGCAUGUGUGAUUUUUAUGCUAUGACAUGUGCUUGGUUUGAUUUGUAUGUCUCUGUUGUCAUAUUCUGAUAUUAAUUGCGUUAUGCGAUGGUGUGAUCAACUUGCUAUGGUAGACACGGGCAUGUGUCGAUUGAUCCAUGGAAGUGGUGAGCGUUUAUAGCUGUAGGCUCGGGAUUUUUUCUCAGGUGAAUGCGUCAAUGGCUGAGCGCUCUAUUGUCCCUAGAGAAUGCGCCAUGGCUGAGCGCACUUGAGUUGUCGGGGCUUUUUCUCAUGUGAAUGCGUCACUGGCUAAGCGCUCUAUUGUCCCUAGAGAAUGCGCCAGGGCUGAGCGCACUUGAGACAUCUUCAAGAUCUUUAUCAUCUGUGUUGUUUGCACCUUGCCUAUGUCGUGGAGGUAGGUGAAGGUAGUUUCACGCGAAAC